Molecule: transfer RNA, 69 nt
Filed under: Delias pasithoe
Lineage: Eukaryota; Metazoa; Arthropoda; Insecta; Lepidoptera; Pieridae
Also listed under: 1 other name
Description: tRNA-Gln
Source: RNAcentral
UAUAUUUUAGUGUAGGGGGCACAGUAAUUUUUGAUAUUAUUAGAUUUAGUUUAACUCUAAAAAAUAUAA